Molecule: ribosomal RNA, 411 nt
Filed under: uncultured prokaryote
Description: bacterial SSU rRNA
Rfam family: Bacterial small subunit ribosomal RNA
Source: RNAcentral
GUGCCAGCAGCCGCGGUAAUACGGAGGGUGCAAGCGUUAUCCGGAUUCACUGGGUUUAAAGGGUGCGUAGGCGGAUCGGUAAGUCAGAGGUGAAAGCCCCGAGCUCAACUCGGGAACUGCCUUUGAUACUGUCGGUCUUGAGUAUAGUUGAAGUAGGCGGAAUGAGUCGUGUAGCGGUGAAAUGCAUAGAUAUGACUCAGAACACCGAUUGCGAAGGCAGCUUGCUAAACUAUCACUGACGCUGAGGCACGAAAGCGUGGGUAGCAAACAGGAUUAGAUACCCUGGUAGUCCACGCCCUAAACGAUGAUUACUCGACAUAUGCGAUACACUAUAUGUGUCCAAGCGAAAGCGUUAAGUAAUCCACCUGGGGAGUACGUUCGCAAGAAUGAAACUUAAAUGAAUUGGCGGGG